GAUGAACGCUGGCGGCGUGCUUAACACAUGCAAGUCGAACGAAGCACCUUGAUUUGAUUCUUCGGAUGAAGAUCGUGGUGACUGAGUGGCGGACGGGUGAGUAACGCGUGGGUAACCUGCCUCAUACAGGGGGAUAACAGUUAGAAAUGACUGCUAAUACCGCAUAAGACCACAGCACCGCAUGGUGCAGGGGUAAAAACUCCGGUGGUAUGAGAUGGACCCGCGUCUGAUUAGGUAGUUGGUGGGGUAAUGGCCUACCAAGCCGACGAUCAGUAGCCGACCUGAGAGGGUGACCGGCCACAUUGGGACUGAGACACGGCCCAAACUCCUACGGGAGGCAGCAGUGGGGAAUAUUGCACAAUGGGGGAAACCCUGAUGCAGCGACGCCGCGUGAGCGAUGAAGUAUUUCGGUAUGUAAAGCUCUAUCAGCAGGGAAGAAAAUGACGGUACCUGACUAAGAAGCACCGGCUAAAUACGUGCCAGCAGCCGCAGUAA
RNAcentral lists this ribosomal RNA (495 nucleotides) under uncultured bacterium. RNAcentral describes it as "partial 16S ribosomal RNA". It matches the Rfam family "Bacterial small subunit ribosomal RNA", at positions 28 to 523 of the family's 1533-position model. The record is from RNAcentral.